AGAGUUUGAUCAUGGCUCAGGACGAACGCUGGCGGCGUGCUUAACACAUGCAAGUGGUGCGACGAACCAGGGCUUGCCCUGGGGCAAAGCCGCGAACGGGUGAGUAACACGUGAGUAACCUGCCCCGAUGACCGGGACAACCCGAGGAAACUCGGGCUAAUACCGGAUGUGGCGCACAGGCGUAAGCCUGUUCGCUAAAGGAAGCUUCGGCCUCCGCAUUGGGAGGGGCUCGCGGCCCAUUGGCUUGUUGGUGGGGUAACGGCCUACCAAGGCAACGAUGGGUAGCUGGUCUGAGAGGACGAUCAGCCACACUGGGACUGAGACACGGCCCAGACUCCUACGGGAGGCAGCAGUGGGGAAUCUUGCGCAAUGCGCGAAAGCGUGACGCAGCAACGCCGCGUGGGGGAAGACGGCCUUCGGGUUGUAAACCCCUUUCAGGAGGGACGAAGGCUCACCGGUGAAUAGCCGUGUGAGUUGACGGUACCUCCACAAGAAGCUCCGGCUAACUACGUGCCAGCAGCCGCGGUAAUACGUAGGGAGCAAGCGUUGUCCGGAAUCAUUGGGCGUAAAGCGCGCGUAGGUGGCCUCAUAAGUCCGCUGUGAAAGUCAAAGGCUCAACCUUUGAAAGCCGGUGGAUACUGUGGGGCUAGAGUACGGAAGAGGCGAGUGGAAUUCCUGGUGUAGCGGUGGAAUGCGCAGAUAUCAGGAGGAACACCAAUAGCGAAGGCAGCUCGCUGGGACGUUACUGACACUGAGGCGCGAAAGCGUGGGGAGCGAACAGGAUUAGAUACCCUAGUAGUCC
This 802-nucleotide ribosomal RNA is filed under the name uncultured bacterium. RNAcentral describes it as "bacterial SSU rRNA". It matches the Rfam family "Bacterial small subunit ribosomal RNA", at positions 8 to 796 of the family's 1533-position model. The record is from RNAcentral.